This 487-nucleotide ribosomal RNA is filed under the name uncultured bacterium. RNAcentral's name for it is "partial 16S ribosomal RNA". It matches the Rfam family "Bacterial small subunit ribosomal RNA", at positions 28 to 507 of the family's 1533-position model. The record is from RNAcentral.
GACGAACGCUGGCGGCGUGCUUAACACAUGCAAGUCGUACGAUGACCCGGCUCUUCGGCGCUGGUGAUUAGUGGCGAACGGGCGAGUAACACGUGGGUGACCUGCCCUGCACUCUGGGAUAAGCCCGGGAAACUGGGUCUAAUACUGGAUACGACCAGUGGCCGCAUGGUCUGCUGGUGGAAAGCCCUUCGGGGUGGUGUGGGAUGGGCCCGCGGCCUAUCAGCUUGUUGGUGGGGUGAUGGCCUACCAAGGCGACGACGGGUAGCCGGCCUGAGAGGGUGUCCGGCCACACUGGGACUGAGACACGGCCCAGACUCCUACGGGAGGCAGCAGUGGGGAAUCGUGCACAAUGGGCGAAAGCCUGAUGCAGCGACGCCGCGUGAGGGAUGACGGCCUUCGGGUUGUAAACCUCUUUCGGCAGGGAACAAGCCUGGGGGUUUUCUUCUGGGUGAGGGUACCUGCGGAAGAAGCACCGGCUAACUACGUG